AUGCCGCUGGGGAGCCCGCUACCGCCGCCGCUGCCGCCGCCGCUGCCGCUGCCACUGCCGCCGCCCCCGCGACUCAGCUGGCCAGGGCCGCGGCGCCCGCCCCGCACCAUCAUGCCAUCCACCGCGCCGGGCGGGGGGCACGGGGCUGCGGCGGCCGGGGCCCGGGCGGCGCGGGGCGGGCCGGGGGCCCGGAGGACGCCGGAGGCUCUCGGGCGCGCGGGGAGGGGCUGCGGCGUUCGGCCUCCUGGAGGGCUUGCAGGAACCAUGAACCGGGCCGCGCAAACUCACGGGGCGCGCUCCUCGCCGCCGGGCCGCCAGGAAAGUCCCUUCUGCUGGGCCGAGGGUGUGGCCGGGGCUGGCGCGGCCGCGCAGAGUCAGAGUCGGGCGGGAGCCUGCAGUGAUUGCGCACAGCGGCCGGGGGCCCCGCUCGCGCGCUCGCCGCCCGCCACGCCCGGGCCGCCGGGCCGCCCCUUCCCGCCUCGCCUCGCCUCGCCUGGCCUCGCCUGCCUCGCCUCGCCUCGCCUCUCCUCGCCGGCUCACAGCGCGCGGCCCGGCGCCCCGGCGGCACGCCCUCCCCGACCGCGCGCCCCGCGGCCGGCCGCUGGCUGUGGGCGCGAGUCCAUCCCGGUCGCCUGGUCGCCUGGGGCCCGCGGCGGCUCAGCUCUCCCGCGCCCCCGGGCCCUGCGCAUCGGACGCCCGGCGCGCGUCUCCCCCCCCGCCCCGGCCACGCCGACUCAGAAGGUCCCCGCGGCGCGGCGGCCACCCGCCCGGGCCCCGGCUCCUGCCAUUUCCGUCAACCUCCAACUUCCGAGCGCGCCGGGAGAAACUGAAAGGAAGGGCGGGGGCCGAGAGGCGCAGGGGCCGCCGCCCGCUUCCUCUCCCCGCGCGGCCGCUCCGCGCCGCGGGCCGUGGGUGCGCCGGGGCCGCCCGAGCCGCCUCCUCCCCGUGUCCGCGCCUCGCCCCCGGGCUCGCCGCCGCCGCCCGGCCGUCACCUCCCCGGAGCCUAUAGAAAUCUUUUGUGUGGCGUCACCGCCUUUCGUUUAAAUCCCGCUUCCUCCUCUCGCCCUUCCCCCGCCCUCUCCGCCGCUCCCGGAUGCUUGCGCGAUGCGCUGCUCCUCCCCCGGGAAGCUGGGUGGCUGCGGGAGGACGCCGCCGCCCUGCGCGGACGCGGCGGGCGCCGGGCCGGGGGUCCCGCGGGGCGGGGGGCGCGGCCUGGGGGCCCCCGGGCGCCGCGGGGCUCCGCGCGUCCUCCCCGCCCGGCGAGCGGGUCUCCGAGGGGACUGCUUUGGCGCCGAAGGGAGGAGGACGCCGCGCGCCAUCCCCUGGUGGCCCGCGGGGGCCGGCCCGCGCGUCUAGCGGGGCCCCGGCGGCUCUUGCCAGCCCUCGCCCUGCCCUUUGUUGUGCGCAGCCCUCCUUCCGCGGUUGGGGGGGACCCUGCAGGGCUGUGCGGGGCGCUGAGGGCACUGGCUGUGCAGUCGGAAGGGCAGGCUGCGGGGGGCGGGGGGCGCCCUCCCUGUGUGCUCGGACUUCCUGGGGCCGGUCUUUUCUGCAGCCAUCCGGGAGCUGUGUUGACCUUGUGCAAGUCCUCCCCCCAAGGGUCCGUCCUCUCCCCAAAUCAGAGAGUGCGCACCGACUGCUGGACCACUUGGCUCCUAAAACAGAGCCGGUAGAACUAGGAGCCUCGACCUGCGCGGUGGGCGCCCUCACAACUUCUGUGUCCAACGCUCGGCGAUGGAAUAAUAGUGGCCACUGUCAAAGAAGAGGAAUAACAGACAGCCUUAGGAGGUAAACCUUGUUGGCCGGUCCUGCCCAGAAGGAGCCCACCCGCUGAUGCCUCCGGCGUCUUCCCAAGGGCAGGAGGAGAGCUAAUGACCGGGUGAGGAGCCCCCUCCCAGCCUCGGAUCCGUCGACCCAGACCUCGCUCUUCAGGAAGUGGUUGAAGCACCUGGGCUUCCUCCCAGCCGGGGACCCACCCCUUGGUUCCGAAACAGGCCCUCCAGGUGCCCAGCCCGGCCUCAGCUGGGUGUGUCUGCCAAUCGAACCGCCAGUUCCUCUGUCCCAGGGACCCAAGGUCACCUUUUGGUUCAGUCAGCCAAUUAGUCUUACUUAUAACUCAGAUGACCUUACAAUUUAUCGUCCAAACUGAAACUGUACUCAGAG
Molecule: long non-coding RNA, 2160 nt
Filed under: Canis lupus familiaris (dog)
Lineage: Eukaryota; Metazoa; Chordata; Mammalia; Carnivora; Canidae
Description: lncRNA (ENSCAFG00040000446.1)
Source: RNAcentral